This 429-nucleotide ribosomal RNA is filed under the name bacterium. RNAcentral's name for it is "partial 16S ribosomal RNA". It matches the Rfam family "Bacterial small subunit ribosomal RNA", at positions 355 to 776 of the family's 1533-position model. The record is from RNAcentral.
UGGGGAAUCUUCCGCAAUGGACGAAAGUCUGACGGAGCAACGCCGCGUGAGUGAUGACGGCCUUCGGGUUGUAAAGCUCUGUUAAUCGGGACGAAUGGUUCUUUUGCAAAUAGUGCGAGGAUUUUACGGUACCGGACUAGAAAGCCACGGCUAACUACGUGCCAGCAGCCGCGGUAAUACGUAGGUUGCAAGCGUUGUCCGGAAUUAGUGGGCGUAAAGCGCGCGCAGGCGGAUUGGUCAGUCUGUCUUAAAAGUUCGGGGCUUAACCCCGUGAUGGGAUGGAAACUGACAAUCUAGAGUAUAGGAGAGGAAAGGGGAAUUCCUAGUGUAGCGGUGAAAUGCGUAGAUAUUAGGAAGAACACCAGUGGCGAAGGCGACUUUCUGGAAGAAAACUGACGCUGAGGCGCGAAAGCCAGGGGAGCGAACGGG